Molecule: ribosomal RNA, 383 nt
Filed under: uncultured bacterium
Lineage: Bacteria
Description: bacterial SSU rRNA
Rfam family: Bacterial small subunit ribosomal RNA
Source: RNAcentral
AAUGAACGCUGGCGGCGCGCCUAAUACAUGCAAGUCGAGCGAGAAGACGUAGCAAUACGUUUGUAAAGCGGCGAACGGGUGAGGAAUACAUGGGUAACCUACCCUCGAGUGGGGAAUAACUAGCCGAAAGGUUAGCUAAUACCGCGUACGCUUCUUGGACUUCGGUUCAGGGAGGAAAGCGAUGCCGAGGGUAUCGCGCUCUUGGAUGGGCUCAUGUCCUAUCAGCUUGUUGGGAGGUAACGGCUCACCAAGGCUUCGACGGGUAGCUGGUCUGAGAGGACGAUCAGCCACACUGGCACUGCGACACGGGCCAGACUCCUACGGGAGGCAGCAGUAAGGAAUAUUGCGCAAUGGGCGAAAGCCUGACGCAGCGACGCCGCGGU